CAUGGGCAUGAAUUGAGUCAAUAG
This 24-nucleotide non-coding RNA is filed under the name Arabidopsis thaliana (thale cress). Lineage: Eukaryota; Viridiplantae; Streptophyta; Magnoliopsida; Brassicales; Brassicaceae. The record is from RNAcentral.